This 358-nucleotide ribosomal RNA is filed under the name uncultured soil bacterium. RNAcentral's name for it is "bacterial SSU rRNA". It matches the Rfam family "Bacterial small subunit ribosomal RNA", at positions 26 to 413 of the family's 1533-position model. The record is from RNAcentral.
AGAACGAACGCUGGCGGCAUGCCUAAUACAUGCAAGUCGAACGAAGGCUUCGGCCUUAGUGGCGCACGGGUGCGUAACGCGUGGGAAUCUGCCCCUUGGUUCGGAAUAACAGUUGGAAACGACUGCUAAUACCGGAUGAUGACGAAAGUCCAAAGAUUUAUCGCCAAGGGAUGAGCCCGCGUAGGAUUAGCUAGUUGGUGAGGUAAAGGCUCACCAAGGCGACGAUCCUUAGCUGGUCUGAGAGGAUGAUCAGCCACACUGGGACUGAGACACGGCCCAGACUCCUACGGGAGGCAGCAGUAGGGAAUAUUGGACAAUGGGCAAAGCCUGAUCCAGCAAUGCCGCGUGAGUGAUGGAA